This 230-nucleotide ribosomal RNA is filed under the name uncultured bacterium. RNAcentral describes it as "partial 16S ribosomal RNA". It matches the Rfam family "Bacterial small subunit ribosomal RNA", at positions 561 to 790 of the family's 1533-position model. The record is from RNAcentral.
UAAAGCGUGCGCAGGCGGUUUUGUAAGUCUGACGUGAAAUCCCCGGGCUCAACCUGGGAAUUGCGUUGGAGACUGCAAGGCUGGAGUCUGGCAGAGGGGGGUAGAAUUCCACGUGUAGCAGUGAAAUGCGUAGAGAUGUGGAGGAACACCGAUGGCGAAGGCAGCCCCCUGGGUCAAGACUGACGCUCAUGCACGAAAGCGUGGGGAGCAAACAGGAUUAGAUACCCAGU